GUUUUCUGUGAAUUUAGGUUGCUUCAGACUAGUUCUUCCCAGCCUCUGAGGUUUCUUAGAGCGCUGGGUCCCUGAUCACAGCCACACUGCCCAGGUGUUCAGCUCCACCCAGAUAAUCAGCGCGUGGUCUGCCCCUGGUGUUUAGCUCUGCAGAGAUGUUCAGCGCAGCCGCCCCAAGUACAGUUCCCUGUGCUCAGCGCCGGGUUCUCCAGUGAAACCGCCCUGAGAAGUUUAUUCCUGGCAGUCCCCAGAUCCCAAGGACCCUGGAGUGCCCCCCCCCCCCACAGAGAUGUUCCCCACUCACUCGCUGUCCCGGUGAGCGCUCAGGUAGCUCACUCUGGUUUGGUGGGGGAGGUGGGGUGGGGGAAGGGUGGCUCAGUUCACUUUUCUGUGCAAGGUUUACCUCCUUCUUAUUAUAGUGUGGAAAUGUUCAAGCCCCACGUACCUUCGCCUCUGUGGAGUACUGGGAGUACUAGGGUGUCCUUCUGUUCCUGCAAAGAAUCUUUCCUCAAGUGCCAUGUGUGUAGUGGCGAUAUACAAUGUUCAAACCCAACCAAGUGUAAUCCGGAGGAGAAAUUCUGCGUGUUUACGAAAUUGGAGACUGACAAGAGGCGUAUUAUCAAAUAUUGUUCAUCCACCUGUCCAUUCCAGGAUAUUCAAGAAAGAAAGUAUCUACAGUUUUAUGCAGCCUGUUGUGUUACCGACUUAUGCAAUUAUAACAUAUUAGGAGAAGGGCACAAGUUAAGAGUCCGUUUUCCAAUGAUAGCAAUGACAUUGGUAGCAUAUUUCAUUGACGCUUUCCAGAUUGAACCGUGAUAUGUUGAAAUAAAGCUCUGACUCUCCCCA
RNAcentral lists this long non-coding RNA (846 nucleotides) under Monodelphis domestica (gray short-tailed opossum). RNAcentral's name for it is "lncRNA (ENSMODG00000050954.1)". Lineage: Eukaryota; Metazoa; Chordata; Mammalia; Didelphimorphia; Didelphidae. The record is from RNAcentral.